GUACGAAAGAAAAAGGUAAGCUUCUGUGAGUAUGUAAAAUAUAUUAUAUAGCAUAACAUCUUAUCAAGAGGCUGUAUUUUAUAUAUAUAUAUAUAUAUUCUACAAAAAGUAAAUUAAAAAAAAUACUGAACUCCGAGGACGUACUGUUAGAAGAUUAAUACUGUUAUCUGUUCUCUUGAGAAAUAUAUACCCAUAUAUAUAUAACAUAAGUAGACCAUUCUCGUAAAAUACAACUUUGUAUAAAUUAAUUCCUAUCAAUACAUUUAUGAAACAAAUAUUGCUCGAUUAUAAAAUAAUCAUGAAGAAAAAGCAAAAAGACAAAAAUAUUAAACCGAAAACUAUAUGAUAAACAACACAUAAUAUUUCUUAAUAAGUACACUUAAAAAGUACACUAACACUUCCUGAUUGGGCUGCAAUGUAAAUUCUUUUAAUUUCCAUUUAUCUUUUACAGGAUAUAUAGAUUUUGAAGUGUGACGUAAAAUGAUAUAAAAAUAAUAGUUUGAUCUUAUCUGCCAUAUUAAUUCGAAUAUGGAUGUAUCGUUAGUGCCAGAAAUUUUUGUUAUAAUUCUGACUUUGAUUGUUAUUUUCGCGCUGGUGCUGCUAUGUUUUUCAGCACAACACAAAUAUUCAGUAACUUUUAUCAGCAUUGUAGCUGUUGAAUAUAUAUUUGAAAUGUUUCGUGUUUUAUAUUUUAUUAAACUUUACUGGAAUAGAACAAUUGUGAUCUGGUUUGAUCUUCCUAUCAGAAGUAUGCCAGCAGUUUCGAUGAUUUGUUCCGUACUACUUGGCACAAUUGUAUUGACAUCAGUUCCAUUUAAAAAGUCGUUAGUAAAAGUCGUCUGCUUGAUCUACGUCUGUUUAGCGCUUAUACUAAUUAUUAUAUGGAACAAUCUCUUGUCAACAUGCUUGAUUGUUGAACAUCCUGAGAAAACCAAACACAUUUUCUGUGAUUCAUUCUUGAAAGAUUCGAACCUGAUGGAUUACUACCAAUGCAUCAACGAUGAGUCAAUAAGUAAGCUACAGGUCCUUACCAAACCCAGGCCUAAUACGUCUUUUUAUUGCUUUGAGAAUCGGGCACCUUGGACCAGCAGUUUCUAUCUGGAGUAUUUGUUAUUAUGCGUCCCGUCUUUUGCAAUACUGUACAACAUGGUAUACAAAACGUCAUCAUUUUCUGGUUAGUAUAAUUUUGAGUUUGUAAGAAAUUAAAGUGUGCAUGACAAUAACAUUUGCCUUACCAAUCAUCGUUGAGAAAAGUAGCGACACAAUAUGUUCAUUUUCUAAACUUUCAAUAAAAUGCAAAACAAGACAGAGUGUAGCACUUUUCUCAAUUUUCAAAAUUUGAUCGAAAAAAGAGAAAACAUAUAUAUUUUAUAAAUUGCACUGGGUAUUUUCUGCGCCGUAAUGUCUAAGUAACAAGAAAACUGUUUACAAGUGAUAUUUUGUGUGCAUAUUUCGGCUAUCUUCAAAAUAAAUGUAGUGGUUUUGACAUACUUUUUUUAAUUUCAUCUACUCUAUUAUUUGUCACCACCGGCUUUAUAUAAAAAUCACGUUUUGAAAUGGCAUCAAAUAAAAGCUAAUGAACGUAAAACAAACAACAACCAAUUGAACUAUUCUAAAUAGAAAGAAAUUAAAACUUGAAUAGAACCUGAAAAAAACUGGUGAGCUAGGUUAUACUGGAGAAAAAUGUAUAAGUAUAGCUUUUAAAACAAGAAUGUGUCCACAGUACACGGAUGCCCCACUCGCACUAUCAUUUUCUAUGUUUACUGGACCGUGAAAUUGAAAUAAAUUCUCUAAUUUGGCAUUAAAAUUAGAAUGAUCUUAUCAAAAGGAACAUGUAUACUAAGUUUCAAGUUGAUUGGUGUUCAACUUCAUCAAAAAACUAACUUGACCAAAAACUUUAACCUGAAGUGUAACAGACGGACGGACGAACGACAGAUGGACAGAUGAACGAACGGACGAACGAACGGACGCACAGACCAGAAAACAUAAUGCCCCUCUACUAUCGUAGGUGGGACAUAAAAAGUUCAUCAAAGAGUUUUUCGAAAAACUAAGUAUGGCACAACUUUUUUUUUUGGAAUUUUGGAUCCUCUAAUGCUCUUCAACUUUGUACUUGUUUGGUUUUAUAAAUAUUUUGACAUGAGCGUCACUGAUGAGUCUUAUGUAGACGAAACGCGCGUCUGGCGUACUAAAUCAUAAUCCUGGUAUCUAUGAUAACUAUUCCAAUGGUUAUAAUUAUGUGAAUCACAAAAUUUAUAAAUAUUAGUAAAAUUUUGUAGAAUAAUCAUAAAGUAUGUAAACAUACCCUCAUUUAUAUCGUGUUUUCCAUUUCAGAACUGAGGAAUUCUUCAUCAAAGGAAACAUGUUCCCUCUGCCGUUUCAACAUAUCUCUUUACAACCAUACAAUUCCGCGCGCCCUCUUUAUAAUUUGGUGCGUUAGACCGACUUUGUUUUUAUUCAUUGCAUCCGGAUUUUAUCGUGCUACGUCGAUUUAUAUUGACUCAUUUAUCAUGAUAUCAUCAGUGACAUUUUUUAUUCUGGUUUUGUUUGACAUUCUUAAGUUCUAUCUUUUUCAAGAAAUGGAAUGUAUUGUUUACAAUAAAAGUGACUAUAACGGCGCCAUAAAAAACUGUGGACAAAACAAAGAGAGUUUCAUAGAUUGUGAGCAAAUUAAAUGCUUAGAAUAAAGCGCGAGCUACAUGAAUGCUUACAAUUGUGAAGAGCAAGAUGAAUGCUUAAAAUAAUAUAUAACUCUUGCAUGUUUCAUUUAUUAUAAGCUAGAAAAAAUUGCUGUCGUUUGGCAUGGUUGGUGCAAAAUUCUUAAUAUUUUGUCACAAUUUUGAGUAUUAUAGAAAUAUAUGUUUAAGUUUUGUAUUCAUGUAUCAAUCAAAAAUGUGCAUAUUUUCAUACCAAAUGAUAUUGUUUUCUUAUUGACCCAGUAUAAAUUGAAUGAGUAAUGUCAGAAAAUGAAUUUUAUGCUGUUUUCUUUUCAAUGGAUAUAUUCAACCAUUUUUUUAUUAGUAGUAGUCUUAGAUCCUGUUAUGUUAGAAAAGGAAUCUUAACAAUUCAGGAUAUAGCUUCUUUAUACAAUUGUCAUAUUGUAUCAUUUCAAAAACAAAUUAAUCAAAAAAAAAUAAUCGUUUAAAAAAAAAAUUGGUUACUUCCUUGACAAACUAAAAAUUCAUUUUCAAUUUAAUUUAAAAAGUUUAAAAACGAAUUUUGUCAUCA
Molecule: long non-coding RNA, 3225 nt
Filed under: Mytilus galloprovincialis (Mediterranean mussel)
Lineage: Eukaryota; Metazoa; Mollusca; Bivalvia; Mytilida; Mytilidae
Source: RNAcentral